UACGUAGGGUGCGAGCGUUGUCCGGAUUUAUUGGGCGUAAAGAGCUCGUAGGCGGUUUGUCGCGUCGGCCGUGAAAUCUCCACGCUUAACGUGGAGCGUGCGGUCGAUACGGGCAGACUUGAGUUCGGUAGGGGAGACUGGAAUUCCUGGUGUAGCGGUGAAAUGCGCAGAUAUCAGGAGGAACACCGGUGGCGAAGGCGGGUCUCUGGGCCGAUAUCGACGCUGAGGAGCGAAAGCGUGGGGAGCGAACAGG
RNAcentral lists this ribosomal RNA (253 nucleotides) under uncultured bacterium. RNAcentral describes it as "partial 16S ribosomal RNA". It matches the Rfam family "Bacterial small subunit ribosomal RNA", at positions 524 to 776 of the family's 1533-position model. The record is from RNAcentral.